RNAcentral lists this ribosomal RNA (115 nucleotides) under Brevibacillus brevis. RNAcentral describes it as "partial 16S ribosomal RNA". It matches the Rfam family "Bacterial small subunit ribosomal RNA", at positions 1 to 123 of the family's 1533-position model. The record is from RNAcentral. Lineage: Bacteria; Bacillati; Bacillota; Bacilli; Caryophanales; Paenibacillaceae.
UUUAUUGGAGAGUUUGAUCCUGGCUCAGGACGAACGCUGGCGGCGUGCCUAAUACAUGCAAGUCGAGCGAGGGUCUUCGGACCCUAGCGGCGGACGGGUGAGUAACACGUAGGAA